ACAAGACAGAGUUGUUUGGGCUUGAGACUUGAAAAGCAGAGGGCAGAGGGCAUUGAACCAUGAACGUUGAACGCCCGAAUUGAAACUUCGGUGCGGAACUUUUUAUAUUUUUACGGUGUUAAUUGGUUGUCACUUAGAAAUGGAAAAUAAACGACAGAAAAAGUCUUGGACAGAGCUGAAAACGAUCGUCAGUGAGUUGAGACAACAGCUGUCUGAUCUCUCAGCUGUCAUACCAACAUUCAUUUCAUUUCGGUCUCUGGGAGAUGGUAGAACGAGAAUAUUCUUUCUAAGCACCUCCCCGAACAGUUAUGAAACGACUUUGCUGUAUGCUGAUGUGUCCACCUCUGACUCAAAGACUGACAAGAUUCAGUGGCACCCCGUGAUCGAGCCGAACUUCCACUUCAACCUUGGCAGUCGCUAUUCGAGGGAGGAACAGCUGAUGUUGGAGCGGAAGCGACUCGCCUCGUGGGGAAUCACCUCCUAUCAGCUCGACGCACACUCGGGCAAGCUCGUGUUUCCGGCCGCCAGCACACUCUUCCAGUGUGUCGACACUUCUCAUAUGAGCGGUCCCAUGUUCCCAGCUGAGUUGAGAACGAACUCGAGCGGGCCGAAAAUGUUGCCCGAAAUAUGCCCAACAAAUCCAGAUCUAGUCGCCUAUGUCUGUAAUGCUGACAUUUGGGUCACACACACUAUAUCAGGUAGUACGGAAAGACUGACUUACGCGCACAAAGGUGGCCGAAACAUGGCCGACGAUCCUCUGACGGCGGGAAUUCCCUCUUACGUCAUUCAGGAGGAGUUCAGUCGCUACGAGGGGUACUGGUGGCAGCCCGUCUCUAAAGAUAAAGUGUAUAGGAUAUUGUAUGAAGAAACUGAUGAAAGUGAAGUGAAACUGUACAGUUUUCCUUCCUCCAAUGCUCACCUCAACGGCGAAAUUGAACAGUACAGGUUUCCAAGUGCUGGAUCGCCAAACGCCAAAUCGCAUCUGAAGAUUGUUCAGUUCGAAUUGAACGAAGUAUUCCAGAUAAUCAAUCUGCAAACGCUAGUAUUGCCCAGGCCUUUGUUCACCGUCUUUCCAGACCUCGAGUAUCUAGUCAGAGUUGGCUGGCUAUCCGAUGGAGAAAAUAUAUGGCUCCAGAUGGUAGACAGGAAGCAAGUGAGACUGGACCUGUUCAUUCUAUCGGUGAAGAACUUUGUGGAGCCCCCUCGGAAUAUCUGGAAUCCCCCUCAGACCAACUCCGCCAGUCCGGCCCCUCUACCCCCUCCACCAGUCAAGUAUGUGUUCACACAAGAAUCCGACGUAUGGAUUAAUGUCCAUGAUUUAUUGUACAUAUUUCCCACGGUAGAAAAUGAUAAGAUAACUAUGAUUUGGUCCAGUGAGGAGGCUGGAUACAGACACUUGUACUUAGUUACCGUCUCCUACACAUCACAGAUUGUUGAAGACUCACGUGACCUGUUCGUAGUGCCGAGCUUCAAAUCGCAGGUAGCGCUGACUAGCGGUGACUGGGAGGUACUAGGCAGCGACCUGUGGGUGGACGAGGCGAGGCAGCUGGUCUACUUCCUCGGACUGCGGGAGUCGCCCCUCGAGAAGCACCUCUACGUCGUCUCCUUGCAGCGACCCGGCGAGAUACGCCUGCUGACAAGGCCCGGCUUUUCCUACAGUAUUGAUCUGAAUGACGAAUGUACGAUAUGUGUAGCCACAUAUAGUAAUAUUCAAAAGUUGCCCGCCUGCCAGGUAUUCAGGAUACAACACACAGAUUGGACUGUCGAAGGUGUUAGUCUCACUCCUAUAGGAUAUCUACAGGAGCCAACAGUACCUGAAAUAGACCUUCACUGUCCAGAACUGUUUAGUCAUAAGAUAUCUUCUGGAGAUACGAUUUUCUCCAUGGUGUUCAGGCCUCACUGCUAUAAGGAAGGCGAAAAAUAUCCAACAGUAUUAAACGUUUACGGUGGACCUGAAGUGCAGCUAGUUUCAAAUACUUUUAAGGGAAUGCGUCACCUAAGAAUGCACAUGCUAGCAUCUCAGGGUUAUUGUGUGGUGAUGAUAGAUUCCAGAGGAUCUCAGCAUAGAGGACUGCAGUUCGAGAGUCAUAUCAAAGGAAGAAUGGGAACAGUAGAACUGGAUGACCAAGUGGAGGUUCUGCAGUGGCUGGCCGAGACGACGGGAAUGAUUGACAUGGAGAGAGUCGCCAUUUUGGGCUGGUCCUACGGCGGAUAUCUCAGUCUAAUGGGUCUGGCGCAGUUCUCACAUAUAUUCAAAUUGGCAAUAGCUGGUGCACCUGUGACGUCAUGGUGCUCCUAUGAUACCGGAUACACGGAACGAUACAUGGGACUGCCCCAGGAGAAUAAAUUCGGCUACAGGCAAGGAUCUGUCUUCAACUACAUCAAAAUGUUCCCUGAAGAUGAGAAUCGGUUGCUGAUAAUCCACGGCCUAAUAGAUGAGAACGUUCACUUUGAUCAUACGAGCAGUUUGAUAGACGCAUUGGUCAAAGCCGGAAAGCCCUAUCAACUCCAGGUGUAUCCCAACGAGAGACAUAGUCUACGGAACCUGGAUGCCAGCAAACAUUACGAAACAAUGCUCCUGCUCUUCUUACAAAAUCACUUGUAAUUAGUUUUAAUUAAUGUAUUGUGUGUGUGUGUGUGUGUGUGUGUGUGUGUGUGUGUGUGUGUGUGUGUGUGUGUAAGUAUCAAAUCUGUAUUACACUGGCAAAUUAUGUUCUGUAGAACUUCUUCGAUUUGAGAUUGUGAACAGCUUUCCUCAAUUAUGUCCUUACAUUGUACAGAGUGUCUCACAAAAGGUUUAUUAGACCUAGUGCCGGUUGCACAAAAGUCGGUUAGAUUUUAAUCGUGAUUAAUCCCACAAGAACCAAUCAGAGAAGUCGUCUUUUCAAAAAAGCCUUCUUUGAUUUGUUCUUCUGAAAUUAAUCACAGUUAAAAUUUAAUCGGCUUUUGUGCGACGGGGCCAUAGAUUCUGAAUGCAAUUUGCAACAAAAAAUGUCCAGUAAGGCUCAACUCACACUUAGGCGACUCAGGUCGAGAAGAGACUCGACUCUAGUCGAGAGCAUGUGUUUUCAAAAAA
Molecule: unclassified non-coding RNA, 3076 nt
Filed under: Nilaparvata lugens (brown planthopper)
Lineage: Eukaryota; Metazoa; Arthropoda; Insecta; Hemiptera; Delphacidae
Description: dipeptidyl peptidase 9, transcript variant X1
Source: RNAcentral